AGUAAACACGUCUUGAGCACUGCUUCUCUUGUCUUCUGAGGCCGCAGGAUGGAUGGAUGGAAGGAAGGACAGAGUCAGCCACACAGUAAAAAGAUAUAGACUAGAACAUUCGGACGGCGUGGGAGGUUCGGCCAGAUUUGCAUACCACUCCACCAGCACGGAGAGCACGUGUAUUGCAACACCGUAGAGCGUCUGGGGCUGAGCUGACUGUGGACGGAAAACAGAUUCUUUCUCCCACGCCAACUUUCGCCACCGCACCUGAACUUUUCCCUGACCCAAACCGAGGCGCAGAGAGUCGAGUAUGAAGUUAUUUUGGUUCAAAAACAAGGAGAGGAUGGAGACUAUAUAACCAAUAAGAGCUAUACCUUCCUUUUCAGCUGGGAACGUUUUGGGUCCUUGUUUUUAACGGGCUCUUGUUGGUUUCAGCAGUUGAUUAACCUAUGUCUUGGUUUGUAUGUAUACAUAUAUUAAAGUUAGUAACAUAAAGCUUGUAACCUAAAUCCAACUUCCAACAUUUACCGGCCUUGAGCUGUAGACUUGAGCCGUAGACAGUCCUCUCCACACCGCUCCGUCACUGGAUGUUCGCCAGACUGCGGUGCAUCUCCACAAUGUUGACAUUUGAAGCUCUUAACAGCGAGCCUUGGGUUACCGAUACACUCAGCAGAAGAUAACUCUUUCUCAGGGGUUUACAUCGGCCAACAUCAAGGCUAAUGCGAAAUUCAACGCCCUAAACUGGUUUGGCGUGCAUGCUAAAACAGAGAACCCUCGGUUGAUCUCGCUAUACUCUCCAUAACGGACGGACUGUUGUGGUGGUGGUUUGUUUCAGUAUGUGCUGUAGAAAUAAAAUUGUAGUGGUAAUAA
This is a long non-coding RNA of Oncorhynchus keta (chum salmon), 861 nucleotides long. RefSeq lists it as uncharacterized. NCBI's taxonomy places the organism in Eukaryota, Metazoa, Chordata, Actinopteri, Salmoniformes, Salmonidae. The transcript has 2 exons. The record is from RefSeq and is a predicted model, not a curated record.